RNAcentral lists this ribosomal RNA (460 nucleotides) under uncultured bacterium. RNAcentral's name for it is "partial 16S ribosomal RNA". It matches the Rfam family "Bacterial small subunit ribosomal RNA", at positions 338 to 795 of the family's 1533-position model. The record is from RNAcentral.
CCUACGGGUGGCAGCAGUGAGGAAUAUUGGUCAAUGGGCGCUAGCCUGAACCAGCCAAGUAGCGUGAAGGAUGACUGCCCUAUGGGUUGUAAACUUCUUUUAUAUGGGAAUAAAGUGUAGUAUGUAUACUUCUUUGCAUGUACCUUAUGAAUAAGGAUCGGCUAACUCCGUGCCAUCAGCCGCGGUAAUACGGAGGAUCCGAGCGUUAUCCGGAUUUAUUGGGGUUAAAGGGAGCGUAGGCGGGUUGUUAAGUCAGAUGUGAAAGUCUGGGGCUCAACCGGAAAAUUGCAGUUGAUACUGGCAUCCUUGAGUAUAGUAGAGGGAGGUAGAAUUCGAGGUGUAGCGGUGAAAUGCGUAGAGAUCACGAGGAAUACCGAUUGCGAAGGCAGCCUGCUGGACGGUGACUGACGCUGAUGUUCGAAAGUGUGGGGAUCAAACAGGAUUAGAUACCCCAGUAGUC